GUUAAAAGAGAAUAUUUUUAUUAAGCACAUAAUUAAUGUGUUGAACUCCUCACCACGAGAUACCAGUGAUGUAAUAGCAACAGACAGAAAAGGCCUGUAAAUUAAUGAAUGUCGUUACACUAGACAGAAUAUUAAAAUUUUCAUGGAUGUAAAGCAAUUAGAGAAUUGCUAGUCAUAUCAGAUUUUUUGACAAAGUAAAAAAAAAAGCAUGGAAAUGAAAGUGAAAUAAUACUAAAUCCCCUUAUUCAAACAUGGUUAUUACAACUGUUAUGCAAAGCACACCAUGCACCACAACUCAGCUUCUGAAAGCUUGAACUUUUAUUGUGAAUCUCUUAGUUAAGAUCUUUCCCUCCCUUCAACACUAAUUAUUUUCGAAGUAAAAUGUGUACAUCUUGGAUUUUUUCCAGUCAGUUCUACUGAGUAUAGUGAUCUGGUGAAGAUUUGUAAAUAGUGAAUAAGAUAAAGUGGUGUCUUUGACAGGCAAAACUAAUGUUGUGAUGCAUGGUCUGGAAUACACAACCAUUCUAAACAUCAAAAAAGCAUUUUUUCAAACAUUGCUCAAAUUGAACUAAUUAACAGAAGUAGAACAUUUUGUACACUAGCCAAAUAAUUUUUCACACAUAAACCUUUUCCUUUAGUUUGGUGAAAAUGCAUUGUCCCUUUUAAAGAAGGUUAAGUGUGUACGUAAGUGUGUGCCCAGUCCUCAUUCAGCAGAUUGCUGCAGCCCAAGCACUGCCUGUUGGGAGGGUACGUUUUACAGUCUGGGCUGUAAAUAAUCUCCUUUUUCCAUGAGAUUUGUGUUGAAAACUGUAGAUUAUCUUAAAAUAUCCUAAAAGUAUGAUGAUGUCAAAGUCACAAAAAAAAAAAUCAGUUUGUUAAAGUUCUUAAGUAUGACUACUCUAACACUGACAAAGAAAUAUCAGGCAAUGUGAAAAGUCAGUUUCAAGAUCAGAUUAACUGAAAAAUAUUUCUUUUGAUUUUUUUUUUUUUAAUGGAUGCCACCCCUGUGCAAUUUGUUUCAACUUUGCUGGAGUAUUUGAUGUUGGCUGCCAUCAGUUCCUUUAAACUAAUAGAUAAAUAGGGUUUGGCAUACUGAUUCCCGUGACAGACUAGCCUAUUUACUUCUGUAGCUUGCUGUUCUAAGAUUAGUGCAGGUGUGUUGAUAAGCUUCUCAGUAUAUGCUCAUUAGGAAACCUGUCUUUUCUGUGUACAGAAUCAAGAAAAGGAAGUAUAUGUAAUGAAUGGUACAUCUGCUUUUAGGCUAACACACUUAAGGACAAAGUUACUUCUUCAUUUGAAAUGUAACUAGGUCUAAACAAAGCUAGAUGUGUCAAUCAUAAAUUAUAUAUAGGUUAUUUUCAUGUUUAGUGAUUUCUAUUAGCACAGAAAUUCAAAUUUUCAAUAUAGGAUUAUGCUGAUGAAAAGCACUAUUUUUUUUAUGCAAUAUAUUGUAACAACUUUUAAAAAAAAAAAGUUGGAAUUAAAACAUCUGCUACUAGUUUACACGGAGUAGGCACCAGUAGUACAAAACAUAUUAUGCCAUUUUAUAGACAGAGCUAUAAUAAUGAAAACAUUGCUAAAGCAAUGAGACUUGCCAGCUACUGAUGGGACUCAGGAGAAAUUCUUUAACAGAUGUUUCCACAUCAAACAGAUACUUAUCCCUCACUGAUUAUCAUGAUCUUGAAAAUGCAUUACUUAAUUCAACAAUCAACACCUCUUCAUCAGUCCCAUUUAAAAAAAAAAUCAUUUUUUCAAUAGGUUUUUCCUUCUACACAGCAGCUGAUAAAAUAUAUUAUGGCCUUAAUUUCCUUAUGGUGAAGCUGUAUUACAGCAUUAUUGUGUUCAUGGCAUAAUUAGGAUCCUGUCAGCACAUCAGUCAUACACUGGUGAAUACACAUCUCAUUUACUUUCCCAUUUUAAAACACACAAUCCUCAUAGUGACUAGUGACUACUGUACUACAAGCUGACAUGACUGCGUGCAUACUUCUUUAAAAUUUCAACUGCUGUCCUCUGAAUGCACUGAAUAAUAUUACAUCUGGAUAGCCUCUUUCUUUAGUUGGAAGUUUCACCAUUAAACAUUGUUUAGACACCUAUGAAGUAGAGAUAUCAAACCCUAUCUUGAGUAGGUAGUCAUCACCUAAAGAAAAAAACUUUAUCAGCUUAUACUCUGACUGCAAUUAGCAAGAAAGUAAGUUUGAGAUACUAAACAAGCCUGGAAAUAUGGAGGGUCAAAUUAACACUUUUUGAACAAAAUGCCCAGUUCUAUUUGUUUCAUCUUCUUUAAUUUAUAAAAAUCUUCAAACCCAGGUCACACUAAUAAUAUUUUUAUAUCUAUAACAUAUAUACUUUAUUCCUAAAAUAAGUUGCUCAGCUCACAAAACAUACAUUCCACAUGUAACACCACUGUACAGUGAAGUGAACACAUUUUUACACACAAAAUACCUUGAAAUGAGCUGUAGCAAAUAGACACCGAAAAGAAAUUCUUGCCAAGGAAAUGUGAGAGGCCCCUUGAUUUUUCACGUUAUUAGAAAUGUUUAGAAUUAUGUUUUACCUUUUUGUCAAAUUAUAUACCUCUUGAGUUUUCACUGAUUUUCAUAAGGAAAAUAAAACAGCUCAAUUUAAGUGUUCUACUACUUUUAAUUUCCUUUAAUAUUUAUCCUGUUAGUAUGAAUUAUAACUUAUGUACCUCAAAUGGCAUAACUAUUUUUACUCUACAGCCCAUGCUAUAGUUUUUUAUGAGUGGGAUGAAAGUAACAGGCAUCUUGGGACAAGAAAAAUGACUUCUUAACAGAAAGAAAUCUUUAUAAAAAGUAUUUUUAAUUCAAUUAAAGUUUGUUGCUACUUUUCAUAGGUGAGUCAGGAGUAAUAAAUCAAUUGAAACAAAAUUUUUCAGCAUAGGUGUGGCAUAAAAACCAAACCUCUUGAUAUUUCUUUAUAGUAAGUAAUCUAAUUUAGUCUGGAAUACAAGACCAAAUCACUGAAUAAACAAAUAAUUCCAGCAAAACUGUUUUUAAAAUUAUAUCCUGGGAAACAGUGAAAUUGAAUAUCUGAACUUAGCCUAGCAGCUUAAAACCUACACUUCAAAAAAUAUCACCUUGCCUACCUCUUGCACAUAAAUCAUAGAGUGCCACCUUGCCUGUGCAGCCCUUACUUUCUCAACUGCUAAAAAUUGCUGGCAUCAUUAACUCAGUUCAUAUUAUGCUAUUUCUCUUUCUGCUGAACCUGUCAUCACCUCAUUUUC
This 3241-nucleotide long non-coding RNA is filed under the name Taeniopygia guttata (zebra finch). Its description in RNAcentral is "lncRNA (ENSTGUG00000020186.1)". The record is from RNAcentral. Lineage: Eukaryota; Metazoa; Chordata; Aves; Passeriformes; Estrildidae.